This 253-nucleotide ribosomal RNA is filed under the name uncultured bacterium. RNAcentral describes it as "partial 16S ribosomal RNA". It matches the Rfam family "Bacterial small subunit ribosomal RNA", at positions 524 to 776 of the family's 1533-position model. The record is from RNAcentral.
GACAGAGGGUGCAACCGUUGCUCGGAAUUACUGGGCGUAAAGCGCGUGUAGGCGGAUUGGUGUGUCAGAUGUGAAAUCCCUGGGCUCAACCCAGGAACUGCACCUGAAACUACCAGUCUUGAGUGGUGGAGAGGGAAGUGGAAUUCCUGGUGUAGAGGUGAAAUUCGUAGAUAUCAGGAAGAACACCUAUGGCGAAGGCAGCUCUCUGGGACGGUACUGACGCUGAGACGCGAAAGCGUGGGGAGCGAACAGG